GGCCUAUUAACUUAAUUUGAUAAAGCGUCGUGUUAAUAACGCGAAGGACCCAGGUUCAAGACUUGCAUAGGCCA
This is a non-coding RNA of Thalictrum thalictroides, 74 nucleotides long. NCBI's taxonomy places the organism in Eukaryota, Viridiplantae, Streptophyta, Magnoliopsida, Ranunculales, Ranunculaceae. The record is from the annotation of a GenBank genome assembly.